Molecule: unclassified non-coding RNA, 379 nt
Filed under: plant metagenome
Description: partial contains 5.8S ribosomal RNA, internal transcribed spacer 2, and large subunit ribosomal RNA
Rfam family: 5.8S ribosomal RNA (bases 1-106)
Source: RNAcentral
CGAAAUGCGAUAAGUAAUGUGAAUUGCAGAAUUCAGUGAAUCAUCGAAUCUUUGAACGCACCUUGCGCUCCUUGGUAUUCCUUGGAGCAUGCCUGUUUGAGUAUCAUGAAAUCUUCAAAGUAAAUCUUUUGUUAACUCAAUUGGUUUCUACUUUGGUAUUGGAGGUCUUUGCAGCUUCACACCUGCUCCUCUUUGUUCAUUAGCUGGAUCUCAGUGUUAUGCUUGGUUCCACUCGGCGUGAUAAGUUAUCUAUCGCUGAGGACACUGUAAAAGGUGGCCAAGGUAAAUGCAGAUGAACCGCUUCUAAUAGUACAUUGACUUGGACAAUACUUUUAUGAUCUGAUCUCAAACCAGGUAGGACUACCCGCUGAACUUAAGC